UGGGGAAUAUUGCACAAUGGAGGGAACUCUGAUGCAGCGACGCCGCGUGAACGAAGAAGGCUUUCGAGUCGUAAAGUUCUUUUAUAUGGGAAGAUAAUGACGGUACCAUAAGAAAAAGCCCCGGCUAACUACGUGCCAGCAGCCGCGGUAAUACGUAGGGGGCUAGCGUUGUCCGGAAUCACUGGGCGUAAAGGGUUCGUAGGCGGAAAUGCAAGUCAGGUGUAAAAGGCAGUAGCUUAACUACUGUAAGCAUUUGAAACUGCAUAUCUUGAGAAGAGUAGAGGUAAGUGGAAUUUUUAGUGUAGCGGUGAAAUGCGUGGAUAUUAAAAAGAAUACCGGUGGCGAAGGCGACUUACUGGGCUCAUUCUGACGCUGAGGAACGAAAGCGUGGGUAGCAAACAGG
Molecule: ribosomal RNA, 403 nt
Filed under: Verrucomicrobiota bacterium
Lineage: Bacteria; Pseudomonadati; Verrucomicrobiota
Description: Verrucomicrobia bacterium partial 16S ribosomal RNA
Rfam family: Bacterial small subunit ribosomal RNA
Source: RNAcentral